GUAAGACCAGUCUGAACGAGUGGACCCUAACGUGAGGUUUAAAAAAAAAGUUUUUUCAGGCGCAUGUGCAUUUCUUGUUAUUGUCCGGUUGAAAUAUUAUAGAUCAUUUAGGCUAAAAAAUAACCCUAGGAUUGAAUAUAAACAUCCUUUGACAUGUUUCUAUGAACUUUACGGAUACAACUACAAAUGUCUGAUUGUUUUGACUGAGUUUGAGCCUGUGGAUUACUGAAGAAAACGCGCUAACAAAACUGAGGUUUUUGGAUAUAAAGAGACUUCAUCGAACAAAAGGAACAUUUAUUGAGUAAAUGAAUGUCUUCUGAUUGCCACCAUAUGAAGAUCAUCAAAGUUUCCAGGCCCACCUCCCCUCCUGUGUCAUCGAUGGCCAUCCGGUGUACAGGGUGAGACGCCUCCUGAGUGUUCGACCACGGGGCAGGGGUUUCCAGUACCUGGUUAACUGGGAGCAUUAUGGGCCAGAGGAGAGGUGUUGGGUCCCUGCUAAGGACAUCCUUGACCCGGCUCUCAUUGCCAACUUUCACCGCCGGCAUCCCCAGGAGUUAUCAAUGAUCUUUAUCUCUGCAGCACAAAAUGGAGAUGUUGUUCAUGGUCACCAGACUACUGGACUUUUCCUCUUCACGGUGCGCAGGAGUAGGGUCAUGACAUUCAGACACCGCACCCGUGCUGUUCUCACAUGAUUGGUGGAGCAGAGCAGAACCCUGACUCCGGGGUUAGAGAAGAAGGCGAGCACUCUGGGCUGAGGCAUGCAUCUCAUUACUGAAGCAGAUGCCUCUGGUGGGGAAGGAGGAACAGAAGGACACAGAGGGGCUGGGAGAGGUUUGGAGAGGCAAAGGACUCACAGCCAAGAGGAAGGGAAUGGUGGGGCCCAGGGGGCAGACAAAGUCAUGUACAACAGGCCUAAGUGGCAGAGUGGCAGGGAACAAAGAAGAGCCUUCCUUCCCUCAAGCCACACAUUAAAUAUGCCCUCGGCUUGGAAUCUUAACAGAUGCAACAACCGGGGGAAUAGCUACAGGGAAGAGGAGAUGAAUGAGCCAAUUGUAAGCUGGGGAUGAUUAGGUGACCAUGAUGGUAUGAAGGCCAGAUUGGGAAUUUAGGCAGGACACCGGGGUUAACACCCCUACUCUUACGAUAAGUGCCAUGGGAUCUUUAGUGACCACAGAGAAUCAGGACACCAGUUUAACGUCCCAUCCGAAAGACAGCACCCUACUCAGGGCAAUGUCCCCAAUCACUUCCCUGGGGCAUUGGGAUAUUUGUUUAGACCAGAGGAAAGGUUGCCUCCUAUUGGCCCUCCAACACCACUUCCAGCAGCAUCUAGUCUCCCAUCCAAGACCAACCCUGUUAGCUUCAGAAGCAAGCCAGCAGUGGGAGGCAGGCUGGUUUGCUGCUUGUUUCAUGUGAAUUUGAUUUAAUUUAUUAUCUACUCAAAAACAUUGCUAAAAGGAAAGUUUACCCUUCUUUUGUAAAUGUUAUGGAAGACAGUACACCUUCACAAUAUACUGUAACUGCUGAUCAGGUCUGCCCAAUGUCCUCUUUCUUAACACCAGUGAAGGGAACCUGCCUUUAACAUGCACACUUCACUCCCCUUCAACUACAAGCUUGUUAUACCUUUGGUAGUUUCAUCAGACAAAGGAUGGACAAUCAAACAUACAAUAGCUCAGUCUUUCAAUAGUAACCCUAAUUAUUAUUAUCAUUGGAGAACGCAUCUCUCUUAGCUGUACAUACAAUAGAGAAGACAUAAUUGAGGGGUUGAAUAUACAGUGCCUUGUGAAAGUAUUCGGCCCCCUUGAACUUUGCGACCUUUUGCCACAUUUC
Long non-coding RNA from Oncorhynchus tshawytscha (Chinook salmon), 1827 nucleotides. The record is from Ensembl. NCBI's taxonomy places the organism in Eukaryota, Metazoa, Chordata, Actinopteri, Salmoniformes, Salmonidae.